UGCGGUUAAAAAGCUCGUAGUUGGAUCUCGGCGGGCAGGGGGUGGUUCGCUCUUCAGCGCUACUGCCCCGCUUUGCCCGUGUGAUUGGCGGAGGUUUCGGGGUGCUCUUCGUUGAGUGACUCGGAGCGCCGUCAGGUUUACUUUGAAAAAAUUAGAGUGCUCAAAGCAGGCUUUUCACGCUUGAAUAUUCGUGCAUGGAAUAAUGGAAUAGGAACUCGUUUCUAUUUUGUUGGUUUUCGGAAAUCGAGUUAAUGAUUAACAGGGACAAUUGGGGGCAUUAGUAUUCAGACGACAGAGGUGAAAUUCUUGGACCGUCUGAAGACUGACUACUGCGAAAGCAUCUGCCAAGAGUGUUUUCAUUAAUCAAGAACGAAAGUUAGAGGUUCGAAGGCGAUCAGAUACCGCCCUAGUUCUAACCAUAAACGAUGCCAGCUAGCGAUCUGCCGAGUUUUUUUUGUAGGCUCCGCAGGAAGCUUUCGGGAAACCAAAGCUUUUGGGCUCCGGGGGAAGUAUGGUUGCAAAGCUGAAACUUAAAGGAAUUGACGGAAGGGCACCACCAGGAGUGGAGCCUGCGGCUUAAUUUGACUCAACACGGGAAAUCUCACCAGGCCCGGACACUGGAAGGAUUGACAGAUUGAGAGCUCUUUCUCGAU
Molecule: ribosomal RNA, 653 nt
Filed under: uncultured marine eukaryote
Lineage: Eukaryota
Description: SSU rRNA
Rfam family: Eukaryotic small subunit ribosomal RNA
Source: RNAcentral